GUGCUCUCUUCGGCAUCACAUAUACUAAAAUUGGAAUGAUACAGAGAUUAGCAUGGCCCCUGCGCAAGGCUGACAUGCAAAUUCCUGAAGCGUUUCAUAUUAAA
Molecule: small nuclear RNA, 104 nt
Filed under: Marmota marmota marmota (Alpine marmot)
Lineage: Eukaryota; Metazoa; Chordata; Mammalia; Rodentia; Sciuridae
Source: RNAcentral